CCUGCACCCAGCCCUAGCCUGACCCGCCAGACAUGUGUCCCAGGCCUUCCCCUAGCCUGUAGAGCCAUGUAAGCCUGCAGGUCAAGGUCAGGUAAAAAAAAAACAGGCCGUAACGUAAAAGAUCAAGACAUUUACGAAGACUGUCUUUGAUGGGCUCAGGUCCUCCGUGCAGACCACCAACAAGCAAGAGAUUGACGAAAUACAGGUUGUGAAGACGCUGCAAGCUGAUGCCUUCAGAGAUCGCGAAGGUCCUCACCUUGUUGUAGGAGAGCUGACAACAUGUACCAGCCAGCAGCAACUCCCAUGCUAACAGGCUUCUCCCCCGCGGGUAUGUAGCACCUCUGGAGUCGCUCGAUGAAGAAGAGGAUGCUGGCGAGGCCUGUCGUGUUAGCCGGGAUGCGCCGGUACAGAGCUGUGUCCGUUGGGGUUGUGUAGGCAAGCAUCUUCUUGGCAAGGUCCUCGUAGGUGGCCGCAAACAGUUUACGGCUGUGGGAUGAGAACUUGUCUUGUGAAUGUGACGUUGGGAGGAGGGAAGCACAGGGGAAGAGGAGGACGAGGAGGAAGAGAGUUAAGAGUCACAAGAGGAGGAGGAAGGUGGAAAGAAAGAGGAAGGAGAGGAGGAGGAGGAGGAGGAGGAAGAUGGAGAAGGAAAGGAGAAAGAUAAGAAGGAAGGAAAUGCCGCAGAAGGAGAAGAGCAAUAAGAAAUUAGAAUUGACAGAGAAACCAGACAAGGGACUGCAUUUGAAGAAGCACAAGAACCAAGAAAUUACAUCAUUCAAUGAAAUGACAACAUAAUCUAAAAUAGAAAUCAAAAACGUCACAAGACAGAAUAGUGAGCUGCAUGCACUUAUCACAGAGUAUAAAGUCACUCCCUCAGAGGAAAAAGACAAGGAUGGCAUGUCUUCAUGUGAGAACUCAGAAGCUAAAUGUACAGAUACCAAGGGAAAUUGCUGGGUCAAGUGGCUACACUGACAUCUGAGGUUAGCAGGUUGGAGAGUGAGUGCAGCAGUCUUCAGGUUCAGCUAGACUGUGAGAGGGAUAAGUAUAACAAACUGCUGGGAGAAUCUCUUGCUCAUGAAAAGUUGUCUGAAGAUGUCAUAACUGAACCAAAAGGAGAAACAACAGGAUUGGGAGGAACUGAGCUUUAACAGAAGCUGCAACAACUGCAGGAGGCUCACAGGGUCCUGGAGAGCAGGUUAACUUGCAGCAUGAAGGAGGUGGCUGAGCUAAGUGACAGGAAGUAGCAGCUUGAGCAUGCUGUAGUGCAUGAGAAGACAGAGUCCAUCGGUGACUACAUCACCAUCUACCAGUUGCAGCGAGGAGUGAUGAAGUAACAAGCUCGAGAACGCGAGUUAGACCUUGCCAGCCUCCAUCAUGAAUGAGAGGAAAUGAAGCAAAACCACUCUGCAGGAUUUGAUAUCAAAGCUGGUGCAGGAAAAGGAAGCAGAUCAUGACCUUCAGCAGCUCGAGAAGAUAAGCAGCGUCCUUAAGAGUCCAGUUGCUAUCUUUAGCAGUGUUGGAACCAGUGAGUCUGAGACACCCACCAGCAGUGGAAAGGUGGCUGACGAGCGCCUCAAGCACUCUGAAAAGGUGGAGCAACAACAAGAAACAGAAAAUUGCAUCCAUCAUUCUUUGCCUGAGGAGGGAAUUGAUGCUCUGUUGACCCUUCACACUGAUGUCCCUCAUGAGGAGGCAGAAUAUGAAUCCUACAGAACUUGCCCAUAGAAAGACCAAAAC
Long non-coding RNA from Scylla paramamosain (green mud crab), 1737 nucleotides. RefSeq lists it as uncharacterized. The record is from RefSeq and is a predicted model, not a curated record. The transcript is spliced from 10 exons. NCBI's taxonomy places the organism in Eukaryota, Metazoa, Arthropoda, Malacostraca, Decapoda, Portunidae.